Molecule: ribosomal RNA, 495 nt
Filed under: uncultured bacterium
Lineage: Bacteria
Description: partial 16S ribosomal RNA
Rfam family: Bacterial small subunit ribosomal RNA
Source: RNAcentral
GAUGAACGCUGGCGGCGUGCCUAAUACAUGCAAGUCGAGCGAACAGAUGAGGAGCUUGCUCCUCUGACGUUAGCGGCGGACGGGUGAGUAACACGUGGAUAACCUACCUAUAAGACUGGGAUAACUUCGGGAAACCGGAGCUAAUACCGGAUAAUAUAUUGAACCGCAUGGUUCAAUAGUGAAAGACGGUUUUGCUGUCACUUAUAGAUGGAUCCGCGCCGCAUUAGCUAGUUGGUAAGGUAACGGCUUACCAAGGCAACGAUGCGUAGCCGACCUGAGAGGGUGAUCGGCCACAGUGGAACUGGGACACGGUCCAGACUCCUACGGGAGGCAGCAGUAGGGAAUCUUCCGCAAUGGGCGAAAGCCUGACGGAGCAACGCCGCGUGAGUGAUGAAGGUCUUCGGAUCGUAAAACUCUGUUAUUAGGGAAGAACAAAUGUGUAAGUAACUAUGCACGUCUUGACGGUACCUAAUCAGGAAGCCACGGCUAACUACG